AGCACUAUUCUAAUACAGAUUACAAAUUGAUUAAGAAAGGAAAGAGAAAAGAAAUCAGAAGAAAAGAUCAUACAAAGAGGGUUCUUAUAGAGGAAAGUUCAGAGCAGAAGAAUAUCAGAAGCCACUCCACAGUGAAGCACAGAGUGAAAGAACAUUAAGAGAUAUGCAUAAGAAUCAUUAGAAACUAUAUGAGUGCAGAGUGUGAGAUGGGGGAAUCAUUGAGAGCUACAUGAAAGAAUUGUUAGAGACUACACAAGUACAGAACAUGAAGUGGAAAAACAUUAGAAGUUACACAGAAGAAUCAUUAGAGACUAUAUAAGUGCAGAGCAUGAAGUGGAAGAACAUUAAGAGCUACACAGAAGAAUCAUUAGAAACUAUACAAACACAGAGCACAGAGCAGAAGAACAUCAAGGGUUACACAAGAUCACAACAGUCAGAAAUGAGCAGGUGCAGAAGGGGAGUUGAUUGUGUAAGAUAAUUACUAACGGGUGCUAACCCGUCACAUAUAUAAUCAUCAGCA
This 520-nucleotide small RNA is filed under the name Histoplasma ohiense. RNAcentral's name for it is "hypothetical lncRNA". Lineage: Eukaryota; Fungi; Ascomycota; Eurotiomycetes; Onygenales; Ajellomycetaceae. The record is from RNAcentral.